Molecule: RNA transcript, 1823 nt
Organism: Musa acuminata AAA Group (dessert banana)
Lineage: Eukaryota; Viridiplantae; Streptophyta; Magnoliopsida; Zingiberales; Musaceae
Gene name: rac-like GTP-binding protein 3
Exons: 9
Source: RefSeq, a predicted model, not a curated record
UUUAUGACGCCACCGCCCGCAUCAUUCAUACCCUACCUUCCCACUCCCACAUCUCUCUCUUUCUCUCUCUCUCUCUCGCUGGAAUUCAAUCCCUUCGUACUCAUCCAAGCAAUUGCGAAUGCGAGUUCUGAAGCGGAGCGAUCCAAGGAACAGUCUCUCUCUCUCUCUCUCUCUCUCUCGCUCUCUGUUUUGCCAGCAAAAACUGCACUAAAAAGCUAGGAAUGCAAUGAGGAUCAUGUGAUCUGUUCCUCCCCAAAGCUGCUUCUCUUCUCUCUUUCCCCAAGGCUGCUUCCUUUUUCUCCCCCCCCUCCCCACCCCCUUUACUCUUCGAGAUGUCAUCAGGCGCUUCCAGGUUCAUCAAGUGUGUGACCGUCGGAGAUGGAGCCGUCGGCAAGACAUGCUUGCUCAUCUGCUACACCAGCAACACGUUCCCAACUGAUUACGUGCCUACCGUGUUCGAUAACUUCAGUGCCAAUGUGAUUGCGGAGGGAAGAACCGUGAAUCUGGGCCUCUGGGAUACUGCAGGACAAGAGGAUUACAACAGACUGCGACCACUGAGCUACCGAGGUGCGGAUGUCUUUGUGCUGGCUUUCUCAUUGGUGAGCCGAGCCAGCUACGAGAAUGUUCUGAAGAAGUGGAUGCCUGAGCUGCAGCAUUAUGCUCCUGGAGUCCCUGUGGUCUUGGUUGGUACUAAGUUAGAUCUUCGUGAAAAUAAGCACUAUUUGGCAGAUCAUCCUGGGAUGUUGCCUGUUACUACCGUACAGGGAGAGGAACUUCGUAAGCAGAUUGGUGCUGCAUAUUAUGUUGAGUGUAGCUCAAGGACUCAGCAGAAUGUCAAGGCAGUCUUUGAUGCUGCCAUCAAAAUAGUUAUUCAGCCUCCUUCAAAACACAAGGAGAAAAGGAAGAGAAAAACAAGACGCGGUUGCUCAAUUCUGAAUAUUCCGUGUGUGAGGAGACUUGUGUGUUUUAAGUGAAGGCACUUGCAAUAAGAAAUGACUGAUCUCGUUCACAUGUUUGCUUUGCUCUCCUGACCCGAAGACUCGGAGGGCUGCAUCAGCUGUGAGUUCGAUAGUGUGGAAGAUUUUGUAAAUUGUAAAUGUUUGAUCUGCUGGUAUCCAAGGAAAAACAAACCGCACGCCUAAAGAAGUGGAUAUAUAUGGUGUUUGGGUUGCAAGUUGUGCUUUUUCACCGAUACAAACGGUGUCUCUCUCGACUGGGACGACUGGGAAGGUUGACUAAGCCGAGUAAAGAGAUUUCACAGAAGAAUAUGGUGGAUCAAUCAGCAUCAUCUGAUGAUGCUGAAAUUUAAGAAAGAGGCCGAGAUUAGAGGUAAAAUUGAAGAACUAUCACAUCAUUCAUUCAUUCAUAAGAUGCAUUCAUCAUUUUAUGAACGUCAACUAAUCCUGAUUGUUGGUGCCUGGGAGAUGGUAGGUAUUUGAUCAAUCAAUUUUUUUUUUUUAAUCUUUUCUCUUUUAUUUAUCAUCCAUAAGAUCACUGUUCAUGAACCAUCAACGAUCAUGAUUCUAUUUUCUCAUCACAAUCACGAGUACAUCAACUUCCAAAACUCCUUUUCAUUGCAUCUUAGUUUCUGGCGUAAGAUUUACGCUUGAUUAAGUUCUUCAAAUUCCCAAGAUCAUCAGGGAAGACAGUAUCCUGCUAAUAUCCUUGUGCGAGCUCGAUUGUCGUAGUAGUACUUCUUCCGUGCUUCAAGCGAUAGAGCUACUUUCCAAAGGAUGAGAUAUGUUUUUUUUCGGUCUUCUUUACGUAACUCGAGAUAAGAAGGGUACAUAAAUUGAUUCUUUCUUUUCGGAUCCUGCUGCUGC